AGCUUCGGCCAUCCGGCGAGGGAUGGGCCCGCGGUCCAUUAGCUAGUUGGUGGGGUAACGGCCUACCAAGGCGACGAUGGAUAGCUGGUCUGAGAGGAUGAUCAGCCACACUGGGACUGAGACACGGCCCAGACUCCUACGGGAGGCAGCAGUCGGGAAUCUUGCGCAAUGGGCGAAAGCCUGACGCAGCAACACCGUGUGGGCGACGAAGGCCUUCGGGUCGUAAAGCCCUGUUGUUGGGGACGAAGGGCGAAGGGUUAAUAGCCC
RNAcentral lists this ribosomal RNA (267 nucleotides) under uncultured Rubrobacter sp. RNAcentral describes it as "partial 16S ribosomal RNA". It matches the Rfam family "Bacterial small subunit ribosomal RNA", at positions 202 to 468 of the family's 1533-position model. Lineage: Bacteria; Bacillati; Actinomycetota; Rubrobacteria; Rubrobacterales; Rubrobacteraceae. The record is from RNAcentral.